Molecule: ribosomal RNA, 450 nt
Filed under: uncultured bacterium
Lineage: Bacteria
Description: partial 16S ribosomal RNA
Rfam family: Bacterial small subunit ribosomal RNA
Source: RNAcentral
GUGGGGAAUAUUGGACAAUGGGCGAAAGCCUGAUCCAGCCAUGCCGCGUGUGUGAAGAAGGUCUUCGGAUUGUAAAGCACUUUAAGUUGGGAGGAAGGGCAGUAAGUUAAUACCUUGCUGUUUUGACGUUACCGACAGAAUAAGCACCGGCUAACUUCGUGCCAGCAGCCGCGGUAAUACGAAGGGUGCAAGCGUUAAUCGGAAUUACAGGGCGUAAAGCGCGCGUAGGUGGUUUUGUAAGUUGGAAGUGAAAUCCCCGGGCUCAACCUGGGAACUGCCUCCAAAACUGCAUGACUAGAGUACGGUAGAGGGUAGUGGAAUUUCCUGUGUAGCGGUGAAAUGCGUAGAUAUAGGAAGGAACACCAGUGGCGAAGGCGACUACCUGGACUGAUACUGACACUGAGGUGCGAAAGCGUGGGGAGCAAACAGGAUUAGAUACCCCUGUAGUCC